RNAcentral lists this ribosomal RNA (254 nucleotides) under uncultured bacterium. RNAcentral describes it as "partial 16S ribosomal RNA". It matches the Rfam family "Bacterial small subunit ribosomal RNA", at positions 524 to 776 of the family's 1533-position model. The record is from RNAcentral.
CACGUAGGGUGCGAGCGUUGUCCGGAGUUAUUGGGCGUAAAGAGCUCGUAGGCGGUGUGUCGCGUCGGCCGUGAAAACCUGCAGCUUAACUGUGGGCUUGCGGUCGAUACGGGCAUCACUGGAGUUCGGCAGGGGAGACUGGAAUUCCUGGUGUAGCGGUGAAAUGCGCAGAUAUCGAGAGGAACACCUGUGGCGAAGGCGGGUCUCUGGACAGUUCCUGACGCUGAGGCACGAAAGCCAGGGGAGCAAACGGG